RNAcentral lists this ribosomal RNA (382 nucleotides) under uncultured bacterium. Its description in RNAcentral is "bacterial SSU rRNA". It matches the Rfam family "Bacterial small subunit ribosomal RNA", at positions 28 to 414 of the family's 1533-position model. The record is from RNAcentral.
GACGAACGCUGGCGGCGUGCUUAACACAUGCAAGUCGAGCGGUAAGGCCCUUUCGGGGUACACGAGCGGCGAACGGGUGAGUAACACGUGGGUGACCUGCCCUCAGCUCUGGGAUAAGCCCGGGAAACUGGGUCUAAUACCGGAUAUGACUUCAUGACGCAUGUUGUGGAGUGAAAGCCUUGUGCGGCUGAGGAUGGGCCCGCGGCCUAUCAGCUUGUUGGUGGGGUGANGGCCUACCAAGGCGACGACGGGUAGCCGGCCUGAGAGGGCGACCGGCCACACUGGGACUGAGAUACGGCCCAGACUCCUACGGGAGGCAGCAGUGGGAAUCUUGCGCAAUGGGCGAAAGCCUGACGCAGCGACGCCGCGUGAGGGAUGACGG